Molecule: non-coding RNA, 2485 nt
Organism: Rattus norvegicus (Norway rat)
Lineage: Eukaryota; Metazoa; Chordata; Mammalia; Rodentia; Muridae
Source: RefSeq, a predicted model, not a curated record
ACCCAGGGCCUUGCGCUUCCUAGGUAAGCGCUCUACCACUGAGCUAAAUCCCCAACCUGUUUUUUAUUUUUUUAAAGAAAAGAAUGAGGAGGAAAGAAGCAUUUGAAGAAAUGGGGAUGGGGCAUGCACAAAGGCCUGGGUUUGACUCCCACCACCACAGAAACUGGACGUAUCCGGAACUCCAGAAGUGGAGGUAUGAGGAUCUAGGCCAUUCUCAACGUCAUAGUGAAGCUGAGAUCAGCCUCCUGUACAUGAGUCCUGCCUCUAAAAGAAAGAGGGAAAGGAGGAGAGAGAAGAGAGAUGAGGAGAAGAAUAGAAGGGAGGGGAGUGGGGAGGGAGGGAAAGAGGAAGAAAGAAGACAUGGGAUCCCAGCACUCAGGAGCAGAGGCAGGCAGAUCUCUGAGUUCCCAGGCGACAGCCAGGGCUGCACAGAGAAACCCUGUCUUGAAGAAGAAGGGGACAGGAGAGAUUUGCAGGAGAAAGGGAUAUAAAUAGGUAACAGGAAGAUGGGAGACCGUGGGAGUCAGUAUGCAUUAUAUACAUUUGGGAAUGUUUAAAAAAAAUCAGUUUUUUAAAAUAUUGAAAAAACUGCAGAAACAUGUUUUGAUGCAUAUGACACCAAAGAAAAAUUAGGAAAAAAAAUACAGAAUAAGAAAUGAGACUUGCGGGGCUGGGGAUUUAGCUCAGUGGUAGAGCACUUACCUAGGAAGCGCAAGGCCCUGGGUUCGGUCCCCAGCUCCGAAAAAAAAGAACCAAAAAAAAAAAAAAAAAAAAAAAAAGAAAUGAGACUUGCUGGAGUAGUGUCCUGGAGAGGUUUUGUCUUGGAAUCUAGUCCUGCAGCUCUCUAUGUGGGAGCACACACUAUAUCUAGGCGUGCAGUUGGGUAGAGGUGGUGGUGGGAACCUUCGGGUCUCCUAUUCUGAUAGUUUCAGUUUUAUUAGUGGCGUAGAGAGUAAUGCUUCUGAGAUGAGAAGUGGGAAAGGGUAGUGGGAGUUUGAGGAAGGAGAAGAGAAGGUGUGACAUAGUCCUCUGGCUGGGGAGAUGAAUGGGUUAGAGAAAAUACAAGCUUGCGAAGUGUGCCCGCUGCCCAGAGUUCAUGAGCAUGAGUUUAAGUGCUACAGUUGAUGCGAUUCUGUUGUUUUCUCUAACACGAUCAGCGACCAAGGAUGCAGGUCCAGCUGCUGAGAAUUCUCCGUCACCAAAAUUUGCAAGGGAAUAAAUAAGUGUAAAGAGAGGGCAGUGAGGAAGAGGAUUACAUCCAUCUUACGGAGAGUGAGUUUGAUUCCCCAGGGGAUUUAAGAUGAGUAGAGACACAGCAUAGGGACAGAUAGGUCAAGGACAGCAGAAGAGCGGUAGGAUCAGUAACGGGCAAGUACAACAUCACUGAGCCUUGGCAUCAAAGAGCUAGAAGUCUGUGUGGUUCUGAGAGUUCUGCGUCAAGGGGAAAGAGAAUCAUCUGGGCAGAAGGCAGGCUCUGUCUAUUCUCUUUGUGGGUAAGUUUCAACCUCUACCCUUCCUUUUCGUGCCCCACAUCUAGAUUGAUGGGGUAGAUAGAUCCUGAGGCUAUAAAUGCAGGGACAAUGGAAGAGACUCAAGGUCAGAGUGUGUGAUCUCAAGAGCUGGGUGUGGUGGCACAGACCUAAAAUCCCAGCACUUGGGAGGUGAGGCACCGGGAACAAAAGAUUGGGGAGUUCAGGGCAGUCCUCAGCCAUGUUUGAGAGAGUAGAGAGAUAGGACCAUGCCUUUAAUUCGUAAGCCAGCUGGCUCAGCCACCUCCGUGCAGUGUCUGCCAGCCAGAUGGCUGUGAUCCUCCUCUUCACGUUUCCCUGCUCUGUCCUUCAGUGUUUAUUGACCUUUACUGCCUGGCUCCUUUGGCGUCUGACUUUGUAACUUCUGGGUUAAAGUCGUGGAUGUGAUUAGGGAAGGUAGACUCCAACUGGAGCGUCUUGGAUACUUCAGAAUGGAAAGCAAGGAAUUCCAGUCAAGGGACUGCAUGAAUCUCAGAAGAGACUUUGAACUUUGGACUUCUGAACAUUAUUGAGACUAUGAAAGACUAUGGGAACUUUCGAAGUUGGGAUAAAUGUAGUUUUUAUUAUGCUAUGGCUAGGUAUGGCCACCGUAGACUCAUUUUUUUUUUUUGAACAAACCUAUAAAAGGCAGGGAGUUUAAAUAUUCUUGGCUCAUUGGAAGUGGAAUUAUUAAGAAAUGUACUUGUCGAAGUGGGUAUGGCCAUGUUGGAGGAAGUAUAUAUAUUCCUUUAGGUGUGGGCUUUAAGGUCCUAUGCUUAAACCCCGGUGGUGGAAGAGAGCCUGCUCCUGGCUGUCUGUGGAAGAGUUUCCUCCUGGCUGCCUUUGGAUCAAGAUAUAGAACUCUUGGCUCCUCCAGUACCAAGUCAGCCUGCAUGCUGCCGUGCUUUCUACAAUAAUGACAGUGGACUGAACCAGCCAACACCAGUGAAAUAUUUGCAUUAUAAGAGUUGACUUGG